AGUGAACGCUGGCGGUAGGCCUAACACAUGCAAGUUGAACGGCAGCACAGUAAGAGCUUGCUCUUACGGGUGGCGAGUGGCGGACGGGUGAGGAAUACAUCGGAAUCUACUUUUUCGUGGGGGAUAACGUAGGGAAACUUACGCUAAUACCGCAUACGACCUACGGGUGAAAGCAGGGGAUCUUCGGACCUUGCGCGAUUGAAUGAGCCGAUGUCGGAUUAGCUAGUUGGCGGGGUAAAGGCCCACCAAGGCGACGAUCCGUAGCUGGUCUGAGAGGAUGAUCAGCCACACUGGAACUGAGACACGGCACAGACUCCUACGGGAGGCAGCAGUGGGGAAUAUUGGACAAUGGGCGCAAGCCUGAUCCAGCCAUACCGCGUGGGUGAAGAAGGCCUUCGGGUUGUAAAGCCCUUUUGUUGGGAAAGAAAAGCAGCAGGUUAAUACCCCGCUGUUCUGACGGUACCCAAAGAAUAAGCACCGGCUAACUUCGUG
This 492-nucleotide ribosomal RNA is filed under the name uncultured bacterium. RNAcentral's name for it is "partial 16S ribosomal RNA". It matches the Rfam family "Bacterial small subunit ribosomal RNA", at positions 29 to 507 of the family's 1533-position model. The record is from RNAcentral.